CUUCUCUCUUGUAUUCUACAUGUAUUUUCUCGAGGAAGUGCUACAUGGGUGUUCGAUGUGUGAUUAUUCUGUGUGUUUGAAUGGUUAUGUUUAUGGUUUGUGCCUUUGAGAUUAUCCUGAGAUGGAUUUCUCUGCUAUUGUGGACGCUGCCGCGUCGAGUUCGACGAAGGUUAGUGGAGUUUGUGGUUUGGAUCGUCUGGGCUGUAGUGACUUUGACUCUUAUGGGUAUAUAUGCAUUAGAGUUGGUUGCAUGGUAGCCUCUGGGGCAACUUGGUAUUGGGAUUUUGCCUCUGGCGAAAUUCUGCACGGGGCUGCUGAUAAGGGAUCUUGUAAUUGCAUCCUGGUGUUGAUUGCAUCUAUUCAUGUAUUUGAUCUGACAUGAUUUACGUAGAUUGGUGGAGAAGUUGGUUAAAAUGUAUACCUUAUCAUUCAGGACCUCCUGUACUGGUUUUGUUUGCGAGUUAAGGUGAUGAAGAAUUUUGUAGGGUCUGAAGACUCACUCCGCGUGGUGAUGCUUAUGAUGUUUACUUUUCAGUUUCCAAGUCUUGGAUACACGUUUGAUACAGAUUCAGUACUGAACCACGUUGAACAGAGAAUUGAUAGAUGUUCCCAAGAACACUAUGAGUGAUGUGCAAAGGUGUGAUAGUCACCCAUAUGUAUCAUUUUCAUGGUUUUGUUCAUGGCUUCCAGCUUAUUUUCAGUAUAGAAAGAAAAAAAUAAAAUUUGACCGACAUGCAUACCUCUUGGGAUACCAAAUAAUCUUUUUAACUGUAUGAUUAACAUUCUACAUCUGUUUUUCUAGAAGAGGUCGACACCCCACUUUUACUAAUUAGAUUAACCUUCUACAUCUUGGUUUGACAUGUCAAAUAAUUAUAGCAUGCAAGUUUUUUUCGUUAUUGAAAAUGU
Molecule: long non-coding RNA, 906 nt
Organism: Juglans microcarpa x Juglans regia
Lineage: Eukaryota; Viridiplantae; Streptophyta; Magnoliopsida; Fagales; Juglandaceae
Exons: 2
Source: RefSeq, a predicted model, not a curated record